GACGAACGCUGGCGGCGUGCCUAAUACAUGCAAGUAGAACGCUGAAGAGAGGAGCUUGCUCUUCUUGGAUGAGUUGCGAACGGGUGAGUAACGCGUAGGUAACCUGCCUGGUAGCGGGGGAUAACUAUUGGAAACGAUAGCUAAUACCGCAUGAUAUUAAUUAUUGCAUGAUAAUUGAUUGAAAGAUGCAAUUGCAUCACUACCAGAUGGACCUGCGUUGUAUUAGCUAGUUGGUGAGGUAACGGCUCACCAAGGCGACGAUACAUAGCCGACCUGAGAGGGUGAUCGGCCACACUGGGACUGAGACACGGCCCAGACUCCUACGGGAGGCAGCAGUAGGGAAUCUUCGGCAAUGGGGGGAACCCUGACCGAGCAACGCC
This 380-nucleotide ribosomal RNA is filed under the name Streptococcus sanguinis. RNAcentral describes it as "bacterial SSU rRNA". It matches the Rfam family "Bacterial small subunit ribosomal RNA", at positions 28 to 398 of the family's 1533-position model. Lineage: Bacteria; Bacillati; Bacillota; Bacilli; Lactobacillales; Streptococcaceae. The record is from RNAcentral.